RNAcentral lists this ribosomal RNA (497 nucleotides) under uncultured bacterium. Its description in RNAcentral is "partial 16S ribosomal RNA". It matches the Rfam family "Bacterial small subunit ribosomal RNA", at positions 28 to 507 of the family's 1533-position model. The record is from RNAcentral.
GAUGAACGCUGGCGGCGUGCCUAAUACAUGCAAGUCGAGCGAACAGACGAGGAGCUUGCUCCUUCGACGUUAGCGGCGGACGGGUGAGUAACACGUAGGUAACCUACCUAUAAGACUGGGAUAACUUCGGGAAACCGGAGCUAAUACCGGAUAAUAUUUCGAACCGCAUGGUUCGAUAGUGAAAGAUGGCUUUGCUAUCACUUAUAGAUGGACCUGCGCCGUAUUAGCUAGUUGGUAAGGUAACGGCUUACCAAGGCAACGAUACGUAGCCGACCUGAGAGGGUAAUCGGCCACACUGGAACUGAGACACGGUCCAGACUCCUACGGGAGGCAGCAGGAGGGAAUCUUCCGCAAUGGGCGAAAGCCUGACGGAGCAACGCCGCGUGAGUGAUGAAGGUCUUCGGAUCGUAAAACUCUGUUAUUAGGGAAGAACAAACGUGUAAGUAACUGUGCACGUCUUGACGGUACCUAAUCAGAAAACCACGGCUAACUACGUG